CUACGGGUCGCAGCAGUAGGGAAUUUUCGGCAAUGGGGGGAACCCUGACCGAGCAACGCCGCGUGAACGAAGAAGGCCUUUGGGUCGCAGAGUUCUGUUAUCAGGGAAGAAAGGUAAUGAUAGGGAAUGAUCAUUAUUUGACGGUACCUGGUCAGAAAGCCACGGCUAAGUACGGUGCCAGCAGCCGCGGUAAUACGUAGGUGGCGAGCGUUAUCCGGAAUCAUUGGGCGUAAAGGGUGCGUAGGCGGCUGAUUAAGUUUGUGUUUAAAGCGCGAAGCUCAACUUCGUAAAGGCACAAAAACUGGUCGGCUAGAGUGCAGUAGAGGCAGAUGGAACUCCAUGUGUAGCGGUAAAAUGCGUAGAUAUAUGGAAGAACACCAGUGGCGAAGGCGGUCUGCUGGGCUGUAACUGACGCUGAGGCACGAAAGCGUGGGGAGCAAAUAGGAUUAGAUACCCCUGUAGUC
Molecule: ribosomal RNA, 464 nt
Filed under: uncultured bacterium
Lineage: Bacteria
Description: partial 16S ribosomal RNA
Rfam family: Bacterial small subunit ribosomal RNA
Source: RNAcentral